GACACACACAGAGACAUAUCCAGGGUACAAGAGUAUCCCUAUAUUAUGAAGGGGUGAAAAGAGGCCCUUGCCAGCUCUCCCCAGAAGAAUAUCAAGGGAAGGAGGAAGUGAAGAGAGUGGAAACUCCCCAAGCAAGAUGAAAAAGACAGAGAGAGAGAGAGGCAGGAACUUUGGACAGAAGAGAAGAAGGGGACAGAGCAGCCGAAGUCAGAAGAGAUGUGCUGGGAGAGAAGGCUCCAUUUUGCAGAGCCCAAGCCAUGUACUGCAACAGACAAUUCUGGACCCAGCUCAAAGAAUGCUUUGGAAUGGUUUCUUUCAAGAGGUCCAAAAUCCCCCAGGAUCGUCUCCCGUAGAGGAGCUCGAAUGGGGAGAACCCGG
Molecule: long non-coding RNA, 378 nt
Organism: Chelonia mydas (Green sea turtle)
Lineage: Eukaryota; Metazoa; Chordata; Testudines; Cheloniidae
Exons: 3
Source: RefSeq, a predicted model, not a curated record